AGCAAACAGGAUUAGAUACCCUGGUAGUCCACGCUGCAAACGAUGUCGAUUUAGAGGUUGUGGUCUUGAACCGUGGCUUCUGGAGCUAACGCGUUAAAUCGACCGCCUGGGGAGUACGGCCGCAAGGUUAAGACUCAAAUGAAUUGACGGGGGCCCGCACAAGCGAUGGAGCAUGUGGUUUAAUUCGAUGCAACGCGAAGAACCUUACCUACUCUUGACAUCCAGCGAAUCCUUUAGAGAUAGAGGAGUGCCUUCGGGAACGCUGAGACAGGUGCUGCAUGGCUGUCGUCAGCUCGUGUUGUGAAAUGUUGGGUUAAGUCCCGCAACGAGCGCAACCCUUAUCCUUUGUUGCCAGCACGUAAUGGUGGGAACUCAAAGGAGACUGCCGGUGAUAAACCGGAGGAAGGUGGGGAUGACGUCAAGUCAUCAUGGCCCUUACGAGUAGGGCUACACACGUGCUACAAUGGCAGAUACAAAGAGAAGCGACCUCGCGAGAGCAAGCGGAACUCAUAAAGUCUGUCGUAGUCCGGAUUGGAGUCUGCAACUCGACUCCAUGAAGUCGGAAUCGCUAGUAAUCGUAGAUCAGAAUGCUACGGUGAAUACGUUCCCGGGC
Molecule: ribosomal RNA, 613 nt
Filed under: Proteus mirabilis
Lineage: Bacteria; Pseudomonadati; Pseudomonadota; Gammaproteobacteria; Enterobacterales; Morganellaceae
Description: bacterial SSU rRNA
Rfam family: Bacterial small subunit ribosomal RNA
Source: RNAcentral